GAUGAACGCUGGCGGCGUGCUUAACACAUGCAAGUCGAACGAUGAAGCCCAGCUUGCUGGGUGGAUUAGUGGCGAACGGGUGAGUAACACGUGAGUAACCUGCCCUUAACUCUGGGAUAAGCCUGGGAAACUGGGUCUAAUACCGGAUAGGAGCGUCCACCGCAUGGUGGGUGUUGGAAAGAUUUAUCGGUUUUGGAUGGACUCGCGGCCUAUCAGCUUGUUGGUGAGGUAAUGGCUCACCAAGGCGACGACGGGUAGCCGGCCUGAGAGGGUGACCGGCCACACUGGGACUGAGACACGGCCCAGACUCCUACGGGAGGCAGCAGUGGGGAAUAUUGCACAAUGGGCGAAAGCCUGAUGCAGCGACGCCGCGUGAGGGAUGACGGCCUUCGGGUUGUAAACCUCUUUCAGUAGGGAAGAAGCGAAAGUGAUGGUACCUGCAGAAGAAGCACCGGCUAACUACGUG
This 466-nucleotide ribosomal RNA is filed under the name uncultured bacterium. Its description in RNAcentral is "partial 16S ribosomal RNA". It matches the Rfam family "Bacterial small subunit ribosomal RNA", at positions 28 to 507 of the family's 1533-position model. The record is from RNAcentral.